Molecule: ribosomal RNA, 253 nt
Filed under: uncultured prokaryote
Description: partial 16S ribosomal RNA
Rfam family: Bacterial small subunit ribosomal RNA
Source: RNAcentral
UACAGAGGGGGCAAGCGUUGUUCGGAAUUACUGGGCGUAAAGGGCGCGUAGGCGGCCUGCUAAGUCGAACGUGAAAUCCCCGGGCUCAACCCGGGAACUGCGUCCGAUACUGGCAGGCUUGAAUCCGGGAGAGGGAUGCGGAAUUCCAGGUGUAGCGGUGAAAUGCGUAGAUAUCGGGAGGAACACCAGAGGCGAAGGCGGCGACCUGGACAGAUACUGACACUCAACUACUAAAGCGUGGGUAGCAAACAGG